This 80-nucleotide transfer RNA is filed under the name Micromonospora sp. NBRC 107095. Its description in RNAcentral is "tRNA-Arg". Lineage: Bacteria; Bacillati; Actinomycetota; Actinomycetes; Micromonosporales; Micromonosporaceae. The record is from RNAcentral.
CGGCGGCCAGCUCGGCGAGCGCGUCGUUGCGGUCGGCGUCGACGGGGUGGCCGUGGUCGGUCAGCUCCACCGCCACCGUC